CCUUCGAUAGCUCAGUUGCUAGAGCGGUGGACUGUAGAUGUUGUGAUGGUUAUCCAUAGGUCGCUGGUUCGAAUCCGGCUCGAAGGA
Ciona savignyi (Pacific transparent sea squirt) is the source of this 87-nucleotide non-coding RNA. NCBI's taxonomy places the organism in Eukaryota, Metazoa, Chordata, Ascidiacea, Phlebobranchia, Cionidae. The record is from Rfam.